This 765-nucleotide ribosomal RNA is filed under the name uncultured bacterium. Its description in RNAcentral is "bacterial SSU rRNA". It matches the Rfam family "Bacterial small subunit ribosomal RNA", at positions 93 to 844 of the family's 1533-position model. The record is from RNAcentral.
GAGUGGCGAACGGGUGAGUAACACGUGGGUAACCUGCCCAUCAGAAGGGGAUAACACUUGGAAACAGGUGCUAAUACCGUAUAACACUAUUUUCCGCAUGGAAGAAAGUUGAAAGGCGCUUUUGCGUCACUGAUGGAUGGACCCGCGGUGCAUUAGCUAGUUGGUGAGGUAACGGCUCACCAAGGCCACGAUGCAUAGCCGACCUGAGAGGGUGAUCGGCCACACCGGGACUGAGACACGGCCCAGACUCCUACGGGAGGCAGCAGUAGGGAAUCUUCGGCAAUGGACGAAAGUCUGACCGAGCAACGCCGCGUGAGUGAAGAAGGUUUUCGGAUCGUAAAACUCUGUUGCUAGAGAAGAACAAGGAUGAGAGUAGAACGUUCAUCCCUUGACGGUAUCUAACCAGAAAGCCACGGCUAACUACGUGCCAGCAGCCGCGGUAAUACGUAGGUGGCAAGCGUUGUCCGGAUUUAUUGGGCGUAAAGCGAGCGCAGGCGGUUUCUUAAGUCUGAUGUGAAAGCCCCCGGCUCAACCGGGGAGGGUCAUUGGAAACUGGGAGACUUGAGUGCAGAAGAGGAGAGUGGAAUUCCAUGUGUAGCGGUGAAAUGCGUAGAUAUAUGGAGGAACACCAGUGGCGAAGGCGGCUCUCUGGUCUGUAACUGACGCUGAGGCUCGAAAGCGUGGGGAGCGAACAGGAUUAGAUACCCUGGUAGUCCACGCCGUAAACGAUGAGUGCUAAGUGUUGGAGGGUUUCCGCCCUUCAGU